RNAcentral lists this ribosomal RNA (492 nucleotides) under uncultured Aeromonas sp. RNAcentral's name for it is "bacterial SSU rRNA". It matches the Rfam family "Bacterial small subunit ribosomal RNA", at positions 30 to 507 of the family's 1533-position model. The record is from RNAcentral. Lineage: Bacteria; Pseudomonadati; Pseudomonadota; Gammaproteobacteria; Aeromonadales; Aeromonadaceae.
AUUGAACGCUGGCGGCAGGCCUAACACAUGCAAGUCGAGCGGCAGCGGGAAAGUAGCUUGCUACUUUUGCCGGCGAGCGGCGGACGGGUGAGUAAUGCCUGGGGAUCUGCCCAGUCGAGGGGGAUAACUACUGGAAACGGUAGCUAAUACCGCAUACGCCCUACGGAGGAAAGCAGGGGACCUUCGGGCCUUGCGCGAUUGGAUGAACCCAGGUGGGAUUAGCUAGUUGGUGAGGUAAUGGCUCACCAAGGCGACGAUCCCUAGCUGGUCUGAGAGGAUGAUCAGCCACACUGGAACUGAGACACGGUCCAGACUCCUACGGGAGGCAGCAGUGGGGAAUAUUGCACAAUGGGGGAAACCCUGAUGCAGCCAUGCCGCGUGUGUGAAGAAGGCCUUCGGGUUGUAAAGCACUUUCAGCGAGGAGGAAAGGUUGGUAGCUAAUAACUGCCAGCUGUGACGUUACUCGCAGAAGAAGCACCGGCUAACUCCGUG